GUGCUGAUGGCUCAGUGGUAGAGCCACUCGCUACAGGAGCGAGAGGUCCCGGGUUCGAUCCCCGAGCGGUGCA
Molecule: transfer RNA, 73 nt
Filed under: Tilletia horrida
Lineage: Eukaryota; Fungi; Basidiomycota; Exobasidiomycetes; Tilletiales; Tilletiaceae
Description: tRNA-Leu
Rfam family: tRNA
About the family: Transfer RNA (tRNA) molecules are approximately 80 nucleotides in length. Their secondary structure includes four short double-helical elements and three loops (D, anti-codon, and T loops). Further hydrogen bonds mediate the characteristic L-shaped molecular structure. tRNAs have two regions of fundamental functional importance: the anti-codon, which is responsible for specific mRNA codon recognition, and the 3' end, to which the tRNAs corresponding amino acid is attached (by aminoacyl-tRNA synthetases). tRNAs cope with the degeneracy of the genetic code in two manners: having more than one tRNA (with a specific anti-codon) for a particular amino acid; and 'wobble' base-pairing, i.e. permitting non-standard base-pairing at the 3rd anti-codon position.
Source: RNAcentral